Molecule: transfer RNA, 79 nt
Filed under: Desulfolithobacter dissulfuricans
Lineage: Bacteria; Pseudomonadati; Thermodesulfobacteriota; Desulfobulbia; Desulfobulbales; Desulfobulbaceae
Description: Desulfobulbaceae bacterium GF1 tRNA-Arg
Source: RNAcentral
UCCCUGGGCAGGGUGGGCCGGGACUUUUUUCGACUCCUGCUCGGGACGGUCGAUGACGGUUCCGUUCCUGUCCGGGAAU